This is a small nucleolar RNA of Zalophus californianus (California sea lion), 65 nucleotides long. The record is from Ensembl. NCBI's taxonomy places the organism in Eukaryota, Metazoa, Chordata, Mammalia, Carnivora, Otariidae.
AUACUAUGAUGGUUGCAUAGUUCAGCAGAUUGGAUCAUUUAAGAGAGACACCAUUUGAUGUAUCU